AUUAAUUAAAGCAAGAGUCAAUGAGUCAUUUACAUGUGGCAAGAUUCUUCCUUAUCUUUUGUAACUAACUCACAUGCUCUCUCUUAAAAAAUGCACAUGCCCAUACACACUCUUUUUCUUAGCCACCAAUCAAUUCAUAUACCUACACCUAUAUAUUUUUCACUCGCCCAACACACAAAGGGGAGGACACCUGAGACGGAAAAAACAGAGAGGAGGAUAGGGUCUGAAGAGAGAAAACGGAUUUGGGGGAACUAGCACCCGAUAGACCAAAAGAGCUAAUAGAAAACGGAGAAGCAAAAACUCGGGUCUUCUUCUUUGCAAGAGGAAUGCGUCAGAAGCUAACUAAAAUCCCAUCCCAAGCUCCAUCAAAAUCAGCUUCUUUUACCUUUUAAACUACCCAAAACCAACCAUUUUUUUUCCGUCCAUUUUUCACUCCCAAUCAGUCCCAAACUCCAUUAGAAACCUCACUUUCAAACACCCUUUAAACCCAAUUUCCAAACAUCAUAUAAGUCACAAAAGUCACUAAUUUCCCGUCCAAAAAUACGUCGGAGUCGAGCUAAGGAAUUCGCGGAGUUAUGAGAUUUUCAGCGAAGUUUCCUUUAGAAAGGUCCGUUGAAGUUUUCGAUCUGGUUUUGGUCAAAGUUUUCAACUUUCUCGGUUCGAGCUCAUUCGCCGUUGAUUUUAGAUGCUGUAAAUUUUAAUCAAUAGAAAGAAUUUUAUUUUGCUCAAAGGUUUAUUUUCUUCACCUUAUGCUAUGAAUUUCUAUUUCUUAAUUAUUGUUGUUGUUUCUCAUUAGUUAGACAUUUUCCUUUUGUGAUUUGUUAAAAUAUUAUUUUUUCCUAGUUAUUCUCCUUUAAUUGCUUUGUUUAUUCUUUUGAUUUACUUAGUUUAUUUGAAGCUAGACUAACAAAUGCUUGAAACUGUGAGUUGUUCACUUACACGCUAAAUGUGAGCAUGAUAUUUCGAUAGCUUAAUAAUUCUCUUUUCUAACCCAUUUGAUGUUAUCUUGUCUGAUCAGUUGUAUUGAUACGACUAUUGUGUUAUUCUGAGAUUGGAGAGAGAAUAAGAAUGAGGGAUUUUCAUUUAGUUUAGAAGUAGGAUGAGCCACACUCUUUUAAGAUAUUCUGUUAGGUCUUGGAUAAAUUAGACAAGGAUUUGGGCUUAAGUCACUUUGGUUGGUUAACGUUUUAUGGGCUUCUAGACUUGAACGUAUUAAUCAAAACUAUUCCCUUUCCUUCGUAACAAAUAGUUUCGAAUAGCUAAACCAUAAUGGGGCCUCCAACUCAUUCAAUGUCCAUAAUCCGUGACCUUACAAUAAUUUUAAAUUAGCUUUAGGAAAAUAACUUAUAAAUAUUCGUAGCUUGCUUUAGGCGUGAAUAAUAGAUCAUCGUGACUAUGAGUACGGUUCUCGCGGCAUGGCCAUAAUAUAUAAUCCCCAAUUCGAGUGUGUGUUUCACGUGACUCGACUACAAUUUCGAAUAAUAAUAAAAAUAAGCAUGUCGUAAAUCGCGGGUGCAUUUCAUGUGGCGCGGUUUGCGACGUGUGCCAAAACGACAAGUGUACGAUAUCGUGACUUGUUUCAGAAAUAAUUUCAUAAAUAAUUAAAAGCGGUAUAGAAGCAUUAACACAUAAAUAGUUCUAAAACAUGUAAUAAAUCAGAUAAUUAGGCCAAGAAUUAAUUGUUAAGCGACCGUGCGAAAAUCACGAAACUCGGGAGUGCCUCACACCUUCUCCCGGGUUAACAGAAUUCCUUACCCGGUCUUCUGUGUUCGCGGACCAUAAAUAAGAGUCAAAUUUUCUCGAUUUGGGAUUUAAAACAAAACCGGUGACUUGGGACACCAUAAAUCAUUCCAAGUGGCGACUCUGAUUAAAUAAAUAAUCUCAUUUCGAUUUAUGUCACUUUAAUUAGAAAAACUUCCUAUUCCCCCCGGGAAAAAGGAGGUGUGAUACUACACUGUGAUAAAUAAAAUUAGGUGUAUCCCCUAGGAUUCAACAAGCUUUUCUAGUAUAACUAAGAGCAGAAACAACAAAGAUUAAUAAAAUAAACUCAGCACAAUCGAAGAAAACAAGAAGGAAAAUUUUUUACAUUUUUUUUCACAUCUUUUAAGAUGUAAAACCAAAGAAGUAAAAAUAGUGCAAAAGAAAUGCACAAGCUGAUAUGAAAACUGUCCAAGCCAUAAAGGCUUUUCAAAGCUUCCACAGCCGUUAAAAUCCAAGCAUACAAAAACGUUAAAAUCCAAAUCCAUUAAGUCUAUCAAUUGGUCAAUUAUUCUUUCAACAGCAACGUUCAAAUUACCCCCUAAUGAGCAUUCAAUAAUCAGAUUUAUUUUGUCCAAAUUGAAUUCAAAAUUAAACUAAUUUUCUGUUACAAAUAUAUUUAUGAUAAUUACUAUAAUAAUGACUCAUUAAUAUAAUUGUAAGAAAAUGAAUCUAGACAUAGUUUUGGAAUAUUUCUUUUUGAGAUAUCAAAAGUAUUUUUCUAACAUUAGCUAAUCUCUAAAUAACAUCCAUGAGAAUGACUAUCUGCGCACUUGCCCCUUGUAUCAACUAAUAUGUUAUGUAAACAUCUAUUGAAUAUAUAUACAACGGGACGGACCCUGCAUCAUAAAACUGUCAAUUCAUUUAUCACAAAUAUCAAAAAGCGUUUUCUUCUUCACCACAAUGUUCAUUUUUCCAAUAUCCUUUGAAAAAUUAUUUAUAUCUAUCUAACGUUGCGAAUAAAUGUGCCCGCGCCAUUAACCUUUUGGUCUACAAUGGCCCUAUCCUAACGCGGCAAAGGUUUCAAUGCAAAGUAUUGGGGCAAAUUUGUAUGUUAUGCAAAGUAGAUGGAUAAAUUGGAUAAAUUUGGACCUUUUCCUUUCCAAAAAAAGUUCUAAGUUAUUUAAAAGGUUUUAACUGUAAUUUUGGACACCUGAAGCCAACGAUUCUAAAAUUCUGUUAGAAGUAAAUCCAAGAUGCAACCAAAAUUUGUUGGGUAGAUUGAUUAUAAUUAAAUUUGUUGGGUAGAUUGAUUGUAAUUAGGGCGGCAAACAGGCGGAUCGCAUUGGAUAUGAACGGGUAGAAAACGGGUGAUACAAAAAACGAGUAAAUUAUCCGAUCCGACUCAUAUUUAACAGAUAGUAAAUGGGUUAACCGACGGAUAAUAUGGAUAUCUAUAUUAUGGAUAUCCUUCUUGAAUAUGAUCACUUUUGGGAGAAUUCUUAGUCUCUCAAAUCCUAAUUGAGGAACCCCGAAUUUGAGUCUUUACAAAUGUAAAAGUUAAAACUCAUUGGUCAUCCAUCUUCUAAGUAGAUAAUAUGGUUCUUAUGCAUGUAUUUGAUCUGUUUUUAAAAAGUUCAUCAUUCAACCCAUUUUCUAGUGAUUAAUAUGGAUUGAUAACUAUUUUUGUAAUCCUUUUUGCCACCACUAAUUGUAGCAAAUUCUAUUUAUUCUUUGCCGCUUUGGGGUAUGGGGCUUACUUCCUAGCCUUAUUGGGAGUAGUGACUAGCGUUAUAGGUCGUUGGGCUUCUGACAUCGACUCAUCUUGCUUGGAAGUCUUAAGAAUGCAGCAAAAACUAAGGUUUCCUCUAGAGUCAAUCGUGAAAAAAGCACGUCAUCUUAUGUCACGAAACCGACCUAACACAACAUAGCCUAAUUAAAUAACUCAACCAGUUUUAACCCAAUACAAUUUCAAAAAGAACCAUUCAUUUGACAUUGAUUGUAACUAAUUAAAUAAGUCAACCAAAUUUAACCCAAUUAAAUUUCAAAAAGAAUCAUUCAUUUGACAAUCUUGUUUGAAUGUACCAGAAUUACUAUAAAACGCACUGUUAAAAAAUGAUAAAAUUUCUCAUCGGAAGUAAAAUUGACCAAAAAAAAGGAGGAACUUUCACACUAAGAUUGCUACAAAUAAUAAUUUCCCAUAUUCUUCAUAUUAAAUUAUUGAUUUGGUAAGUAAAUCCUCCUCUAGUUGUAUAUAUUGGUUAAAAUUUAAAAUAGCAGCAUGAUCUGACUUUGACUUUAAUCCACAAAAUUCCUACUAUUAUAAAUUCUCUCUAUUACUGCAAUCUCUCGAAUUCUACUAUAAAAGAUAGGUAAAGUGACUACUUUAUUCACUAAAUUAUACAAUGAAAAACUUUGGCCUAUCUUUUCGCUGUUCCAUUUUCCUCAUAGCUUACAUUUGUGGUAUGUUUCUCUUUCAUUUUUCCUUGUCGUGAUUAAAAAAAUAAAAAUAAAAAGUAAGAACAUGAAUAGUCACACUCCCUCUAUGCAUUCCCAAAAUGAAUAUCCGUUCUUUAUAAUUUACCAUAUUACGUACGGAUUUGAACGAACCUAGUAGUUCUUGAUUAAAUUAUGUAAUUAUAAUAGAAAAUUUGUCAAAUAUGUAUAAGUAUUUAAUUACGAACUCUGUUACUAAAACGAGCUAUAGGUUCGGUAGCAAAUACAGAAUUCAUAAACUUCAAAUUCAGACGUCAUUUCUAUCGAUUAAGUGAGAUGAUAAUAGUAAUAAAUCAGGGUUCAAAUACCCAACAACGAUUAGAAAAAAAAAGUCAAGUGAUUUUUUCGCAUCUCUCUCUAGAUAUAUAUAAAAGGGCAGUCGGGUGCACAAAGCAUUUCGUGUCCACGCAGGGUCCACGGAAGGGCCUCACCUCAAGGGUGUGAUGGAUACAGCGUACCCUAAUGCAAACAUUAGUGACUAUUUUCACGGCUCGAACCCGUAGUCUAUAGAUCUCUCUAGAUAUAUAUACAUCAUUGAAAAUAACUUUUACAUAUGAAUUACAAGAUACUGGUUUCAUACUACUCAUAUAUAUAUUAUUUGAUUUUACAGCCAUGUUCGAAAUGACUCAGAUUUUCUCAGCAAAUGCUCAGUAUGUAUGUGCAUCACAUGGUAAAACAAAUCUUCCUUGUUCUGAAGAAUUGCCAAUUUGCCAAAACCUUUGCCAGAGAGAUUAUGGACCCUUUUAUGUUAAUUCAGUGUGUAUUGAUCAAGAUCAAGGAGGAAGUUUUUGUGUAUGCUACUUCAAUAGUGGUGGCCCAUGUUCAAAGUUAAAUAUUCAUUAAAACUUAUAUACUUUUUAAUUUUUCAUUCUCCAAAAAAAAAAAAAAAACAUGCAAAGAAACAAAAAAAAAUCUAUAUAUAAGAUUGAUGUAUCCACCCAAACUUGAAUGAAAAAGAGAUCUUUUGAUCUAAUUUAUAGAUAUGUCUUGUAUAUUCUUCAUUAGUGGCGGAUCUAGAAUUUUUAUUAAGGGGGCAAAAUAGUGACGGAGCUAUUUUUAAUUAAGGGGUGUCAACACACCCCCAAAAAAACUAUAAUGUAUUUCCAGGUAAAACAAAUUAUUUUUUGCAUAUAUACUAUAUGUUUAACUCCCGUUAGUUUUUUCGAUGUUUAAUUUUUUAUAUAUUGACACCUUUUCGUGGAAAUUCUAACUCGCCACUGGGUCAAAAUAUAAUGUGAUGAUCUGAUAGGUCAUUUAUAGUUUCAACCUUCAUUUCUGUGCUCCGAGACCUCGAUUAGCUCUGUUUUAGCAUGUCUUGAUUUGCAUGCGCAGUCCGUGUCUUAUUCCAAAAAAUAUUUAUGCGAAAAAUCUAAGAAAAUGUGAAUUUUGUCUUUAAAAUGACUAGAGUUGACUAUGGUCAAUAUUUUGUGUAAACGAACCCGGGUCAUUAUUUUUAUGGUCCUGGUGGGUCCGUAUCGUGAUUUGGGACUUGGGCGAAUGCCCAGAAUUGAAUUCGAAAGUCCCUAUCUUGUUUUGACACAGUUUGCCGAAAACUAGCAUUUUUGGAAGUUGAAGAAUUUCAAGGUAUGACUGAAAGUUGACUUCUUAGCUAACGGGUUCGGAUUUUGAUGUUAAAACUUGGAAUAGUUCUGUAUUGCUAUUUGAAAUUUGUCUGCAAAUUUUGAUCCAAUUCAAAAUUGAUUUGACAUGAUUCGGACACUUAAACAUGAUUCUACUCUUCUUGAGUUUCACUUUGAAAGUUCAUUCGUUUUGAGGAUUGAUUCGUAGAUUUAGAUGUUAUUUUGGUGAUUUGAUCACGCGAUCAAGUUCGUAUGAUGUUAUUACACUUGUGUGCAUGUUUGUUUGGAGCCUGAGAGGAUCGAAUGAGUUUCGGAUAGGCUACAGUGUGAUUUUGGAAUCAGGAGAAUAGUUGAUGCCUUCACUGUUGUCGGUGCUCUGUAGCUGGUCUCGCAUUUGCGAACAAGGCUUCACAUUUGUGAGCAUGGGCUUGAUUGGGAGAGUCUCGCAUUUGCGAGGUGAAUGCUCGUAUUUGCGAACUUGCAACUGUCGCUUUUGCGAAGGCAUAGUCAUUUUUUGCAACUCAGCGUGUUCCUGGGCAAACUUCGCAUAUGCGAAGGGAUGGUCCACAUUUGCGAGGGAUAUGGGUUCGCAUUUGCGGCCUCUUUCUCGUAAUUGCGAUGUUGGUAAUUGCGAACAAGAUAUCGCAAUUACGACGUCCACAUCUGGGUAAAAGAGGGGGAAAACGGGAUUUAGCUCAUUUCUCACAAACUCUCGGCCCUAAAUACCCUAGAGGCAAUUUUCUAAGAGGAUUUUCUUCCCAAAAAUAUUAGUAAGCAAUUUUAAUCCAUUUCUUUUCAAAACAUUAAAUCUAUGAUUCUCAUAGUAGAAAUUAGGGAUUUGGGUAGAAAUUGGGUUUUUUGUAAAAUUGAGAUUUAGACCUCAAAUUGAGGUUGGAUUUCGAAACUAAUGACAUAAUCUCGAGAGUGAAUGGGUAUUUUGGUUUUGAUCUGAAUCUCUGAUUUUGACCAAGAGAGCCCAGGGAUGACUUUUGUUGACUAUUUGGGAAAAGUGUAAAGAAUUUAGCUUUAUGUAUUGCAAUUGAUUUCCCUGAUUGUUUGAUAAUAUCAAGUCGCUUUUUAUUAGAUUCGAUUGGUUUGGAGGCGGAUUUUAGAGGAAAAGCCCGGUUUAGCUUUGAUUUGCUUGUAGAGCGAGGUACGUAUUGGGUCUAACCUUGAUUUGAGAGAAUUAGGAAUUCUUGAGCUAUAUGUUAUAUGAAUUACGUGUGUAACGGCGUAUAUGCGAGGUGAUGAGUGUAUAUACGCCGUCAAAAUAAUUGUUUUCAUGCUUUCCCGUAUUUCAUUUAUUAUCUUACUCCAUGUCUUAACAGUUACAUGCUUGAAUUGAUUUCUAUGCCGUAACUUGUUACUUGUCAUUAAAUACUCGUGUGCAGUGGCGAAACUACGAAUUUUUUCAAGGGUAUUCAAAUUUGAAAGAAGUGAAAAAAAAUUCCCGAUGAAGGGUGUUCAAUAAGUGUUAUAUACCUCUAAAACGUAAUAUUUUACCUAUAUACACAGUAUAAUUUUUCAAUGAACUGACCACCCUUGUGACCAUGUGGCUUCCCCACUGCUCUUGUAUUGAAAUAUUCGUUUCUUCCAUGAUUCCAUGAUUAAUUGCUACUUACCUUAUUUGUCUUACUUGUACACUUUAACCGUCAUAUAUUUGGCUUGUCUUGUUACUUUGUAUUAAUUGUAGUAUUCCUUGAUUUGGUACGUGGUUCCUUUAUUGCUUUGCUUCAUAUUCUUUAAUCGUAGAGAUUCUUGUGAAUUGAGUUGUUGGAUUGAUUAGAUUUAUUGGAUUUGUUUAUGGAUCAGGCUGCACGCCGCAACGGUUGUGAUGUGAUAAAAUAAGGGAGGAUUUGAUAUUGAUAUGG
RNAcentral lists this long non-coding RNA (7645 nucleotides) under Nicotiana tabacum (common tobacco). RNAcentral's name for it is "long non-coding RNA (NTAB_LNC019311)". Lineage: Eukaryota; Viridiplantae; Streptophyta; Magnoliopsida; Solanales; Solanaceae. The record is from RNAcentral.